RNAcentral lists this ribosomal RNA (254 nucleotides) under uncultured bacterium. Its description in RNAcentral is "partial 16S ribosomal RNA". It matches the Rfam family "Bacterial small subunit ribosomal RNA", at positions 524 to 776 of the family's 1533-position model. The record is from RNAcentral.
UACGGGGGGAGCAAGCGUUGUUCAGAUUUACUGGGCGUAAAGGGCGCGUAGGCGGUCAGCACAAGUCAGUUGUGAAAUCUCCGGGCUUAACUCGGAAAGGUCAACUGAUACUGUGCGACUAGAGUGCAGAAGGGGCAACUGGAAUUCUCGGUGUAGCGGUGAAAUGCGUAGAUAUCGAGAGGAACACCUGCGGCGAAGGCAGCUCGCUGGGACGUUACUGACGCUGAGACGCGAAAGCGUGGGGAGCAAACAGG